GUUGAUAAAUAUAAAUAGAAGAGAAAAUAGAAGAAGAGAGCUGUGUUUUAAGAGUGAAAACUGACGGGAGAAGAGAAGAAAAAGGGGAGGAAGAAGAAGAGAAAAGAGGGAAAGAUAAGGAAAGGAGAAGAGAAUUGGAGGAAAUAAGUUUAAAGGUAAGAUUAUGUAUAAAUGUGUGUUCUUUAAGCCUUAAUUUCUGUUUUGAUAAGUGUUAGGGUUUUGAAUAUUAUGUUUUGAGUUUGAUUGAUGAAUUAAUUGGAAG
This 262-nucleotide long non-coding RNA is filed under the name Populus trichocarpa (black cottonwood). Its description in RNAcentral is "long non-coding RNA (PTRI_LNC004713)". Lineage: Eukaryota; Viridiplantae; Streptophyta; Magnoliopsida; Malpighiales; Salicaceae. The record is from RNAcentral.